This is an RNA transcript of Trifolium pratense (red clover), 2930 nucleotides long. It is a transcript of the gene named protein tesmin/TSO1-like CXC 2, with no coding region annotated. The transcript is spliced from 13 exons. NCBI's taxonomy places the organism in Eukaryota, Viridiplantae, Streptophyta, Magnoliopsida, Fabales, Fabaceae. The record is from RefSeq and is a predicted model, not a curated record.
GCAGUCCAAAAAUUAAGUAAUGGAACCAGAUGAAGGGCUAACCGAGCCAAAUGGCUGGCUAACUAAGCCAAAUUCAGAUUUUGUGAGACAAAAUUGAACUUUAUUUCAAGCCAUGGUUGCAUUUGAAGUGGAUCAAUUGGUUUUGAAGUGUUUACUUUAUGUCACAUCAAUAACUUUUCCUUUGAAAAAAUCAAAACUGACAAAACUGUGUUACUUAGUUUUCUUACUUCCCUCUCCAUUCAUAUUUUCUUCACAUCGCCCAAGAACAAAUUCAUCUUUCUCUCCGGAAAUCUUCAUCAUUGUUUGGUACCAAGAAGCCCAAGCAGAAGAAAAAACAAAAUUGCUGGCAGAAGAGCAGUGUAACGUCACUUUCAUCACCAACAAAAAAUCUGACUGUUUAUCGUUUUAAAUUCAAAGCUCUAGAGAAAAAGCAGUCAAAGCUCUACCACUUUCAAAUUCAAAUUUCAAACUCUCUUCCUCCUCUCUCUCUCUCUCUAAACCCCAAAGCUUUUGAGACUCUGAUCGGAGAUCGAACACGAUGGAUGAAGAGUAUGAUGUCAUCGUUUUAGGUACUGGUCUUAAGGAAUGCAUUCUCAGUGGUCUUCUCUCCGUCGAUGGCCUCAAAGUUCUUCACAUGGAUAUUGAAAACUGAGCUCCUCCCUCCCUCAAGGAGGUAAACUUUUCAUUCCUGAAACCUGAAUCAUGUUCUCCCAUAAGUGUAGAAAAUGGACUAAAGUGUUUCAGAAUUCAAUUAUCAGAAUUUGAGGAAAAAGGCUCACAAACCCAAUGACAACAAAGAUCGAUGAAGCAGAGCACACGGCCCAGCGACGACAAAUGUUAUUGUCUGAUUUUUGGAACCUUGGCAGCUGCAUUGGUGGAAAUUUGCUCGAGAUCCUAAUUUUGAGGGAUUGCAUGCAUCUCAAAGAAGUAAGGAUGUUUAUAAGAAGCCAAACUAUGUCCAAAUAUUUGUAAAGUCACAAUUAUUGGAAUGCGCAUUUGCUUAAAGGAGAAAAGAGAACAAGUUUGUUUGAAUGGGUCUAAUAUGACAUUGUGUGACAGGCUUGAGUUGAAAUGAGACUUUGCUAUUUUUCAAUUGGGAUCUUCUUUUCUGCUAGACAGGGGUUUUUAUGUUGUUAUUCUUCUCUACAUACAUGUUUAGGGCUGAAAAUAUGCUUUUGAGUGUUCAUUUGAUUUACAAAUCCAGCAACGACAAAGAUCGAUGAAGAUUUGGAAUUACGGUAUCCUCAUAAAGGAAUGUUCAAAGAGCUUCCCAAAAAGCAAGGUUCACAAAAUUACGGUUUGAUUGUGUAAGUUUUCUAAACUUUAUUUGAUUGUAUUUGAGUAGUAUUUAGUUCAUGUUUGGGAUUUGAGUAAGUUUUCGUUUUGAUUUUCGUUUCAGAAUUAAAUUUUAUCAGAAAACUUGGGUUUGUUUUGAUUAUCAAAAAAUGGAAUAUAGUGUUUCAGAAAUCAAUUAUUAAUAUAGUUGUUCAUGAAUUUGAAGAAAAAGGUAUGUCUUUUUUUAUUUGAAUUCUCUAUUUUUCUUCAAUUGUGUUUCUUAUAUCUGAUUUUAUAAUCCUCUCUCUCUAUUUUUUUUUUUUUUGAAAUUAUUGUUGCUUAGUUGUCAUAUUUAUUAGGAUUUGUUUCUAUGUGUUUUAGUUAAUAAUAAUCGCUACCUUUUAGGAGUUGUUAGUGGGAUUUAGAUGAUUUUCUCAAAUACAAUAUGACUGAUUUGUUUUUGUUAAAUUUUAGAUUUUCUUUUUUUUUAGAUUUGUAUCAAUUUUUGUUUUUUUGUUUUGUUUUUGAUUUGUUUUAUUUGUUAUUCCAAAGCAGCGCCAGCGUGGUUUCCUUCUUUUAUUUUCCUUCCCACACGUUGUUGCUUUCUUUCUCCAUCUUCGCACCAUUCCAUUUUGGUGAAAAACCAAAAGCUGCUUUGCAAUCCUAUUCUACGAGCUUUGACCAAAACUUUCAAAUUUCACAAGCUUUGGCAGAAAAGAUGUAGCGUCACUUUCAUCUGUCUCUCUCAAAGCAAAAUAUUGCAGCACUACUCUGUUGUUUUUUGUUUUGUUGACUGAUUUCAAAAUUCAAUUUCUCCCUCUAACUCACUUUCUUAUUCAUCUCACUCCAUUUUUUCCUGAUUCCUUCUCUCCAAAGAUUGCAAAUUGUUUCUCCAUAUGUUAUUUCUCAAUUGUUUGUUCAGAUUAUUUUUGGUAUAUUCAUGAAGAUAUUGUUCUUCAAACUUGCAAACAGAGUGAAUCUCGCAAGCCUCUUGCAUUUGCUCCUAAAGUCAUUCCAAGUGCAGACUCCGUGACUGAAGUUUUGGUUAGAAGAUAAAUCGAAUUUAUUAUUUUGCUGUUGGUGAUUCUAAGAAUUUUUUUAGUGUAUUAAUUAUUAUCUUCUUACAGAUUGACCCAAACAAAACUCCAACUUCAGCACGCCAUAAAAGAGGGUGCAACUGCAAGAAAUCAAGCUGCCUAAAGAAAUAUUGUGAAUGCUAUCAGGGUGGUGUUGGUUGCUCCAUUAGCUGCAGAUGUGAAGGGUGCAAGAAUGCAUUCAGCAGAAAGGAUGGGUUCGCUUCAAUAGGAAUAGAAGGUGAGAUAGAAGAAGGAGUGGUUUAUUACAUUUACAUUCAUGCUUUCGUAGCCUUUUUGUAUAAUUUAAUUCUUUAAACAUUUUAUAAUAUGAUGAUGAUUAGAGUGAUAUAAACAAAUAUGUUAGUUUUGCAUCACUAUACCAAACAACUUUAUUUAUACUUCUUCCAAAACAUGCCUUAUUAGUUUAUGUGUAUUUAGUGGUAUAGUUAUCAUAUGAUUUUCAGUUAUUCAAAUAAUAACCGUUAGUUCUCUUCUCCUUAUUUGAUUAAAGUGAUUUUUGUACCAUUAACAGCAUAACAUGUUUGGUCACUCAUUAUAAAGGUUUAUUGACCCCUUUAA